GAUGAACGCUGGCGGCGUGCCUAAUACAUGCAAGUCGAGCGAACGGACGAGAAGCUUGCUUCUCUGAUGUUAGCGGCGGACGGGUGAGUAACACGUGGAUAACCUACCUAUAAGACUGGGAUAACUUCGGGAAACCGGAGCUAAUACCGGAUAAUAUUUUGAACCGCAUGGUUCAAAAGUGAAAGACGGUCUUGCUGUCACUUAUAGAUGGAUCCGCGCUGCAUUAGCUAGUUGGUAAGGUAACGGCUUGCCAAGGCAACGAUGCAUAGCCGACCUGAGAGGGUGAUCGGCCACACUGGAACUGAGACACGGUCCAGACUCCUACGGGAGGCAGCAGUAGGGAAUCUUCCGCAAUGGGCGAAAGCCUGACGGAGCAACGCCGCGUGAGUGAUGAAGGUCUUCGGAUCGUAAAACUCUGUUAUUAGGGAAGAACAUAUGUGUAAGUAACUGUGCACAUCUUGACGGUACCUAAUCAGAAAGCCACGGCUAACUACGUGCCAGCAGCCGCGGUAAUACGUAGGUGGCAAGCGUUAUCCGGAAUUAUUGGGCGUAGCGCGCGUAGCGGUUUUUUAGUCUGAUGUGAAAGCCCACGGCUCAACCGUGGAGGGUCAUUGGAAACUGGAAAACUUGAGUGCAGAAGAGGAAAGUGGAAUUCCAUGUGUAGCGGUGAAAUGCGCAGAGAUAUGGAGGAACACCAGUGGCGAAGGCGACUUUCUGGUCUGUAACUGACGCUGAUGUGCGAAAGCGUGGGGAUCAAACAGGAUUAGAUACCCUGGUAGUCCACGCCGUAAACGAUGAGUGCUAAGUGUUAGGGGGUUUCCGCCCCUUAGUGCUGCAGCUAACGCAUUAAGCACUCCGCCUGGGGAGUACGACCGCAAGGUUGAAACUCAAAGGAAUUGACGGGGACCCGCACAAGCGGUGGAGCAUGUGGUUUAAUUCGAAGCAACGCGAAGAACCUUACCAAAUCUUGACAUCCUUUGACAACUCUAGAGAUAGAGCCUUCCCCUUCGGGGGACAAAGUGACAGGUGGUGCAUGGUUGUCGUCAGCUCGUGUCGUGAGAUGUUGGGUUAAGUCCCGCAACGAGCGCAACCCUUAAGCUUAGUUGCCAUCAUUAAGUUGGGCACUCUAAGUUGACUGCCGGUGACAAACCGGAGGAAGGUGGGGAUGACGUCAAAUCAUCAUGCCCCUUAUGAUUUGGGCUACACACGUGCUACAAUGGACAAUACAAAGGGCAGCGAAACCGCGAGGUCAAGCAAAUCCCAUAAAGUUGUUCUCAGUUCGGAUUGUAGUCUGCAACUCGACUACAUGAAGCUGGAAUCGCUAGUAAUCGUAGAUCAGCAUGCUACGGUGAAUACGUUCCCGGGUCU
RNAcentral lists this ribosomal RNA (1368 nucleotides) under uncultured bacterium. Its description in RNAcentral is "bacterial SSU rRNA". It matches the Rfam family "Bacterial small subunit ribosomal RNA", at positions 28 to 1381 of the family's 1533-position model. The record is from RNAcentral.